GACAGAUUUCAGUUUUUUUUAAAGUAAUUGUUCGGAUUUUUCGAUUUCGGAUUUCGGUGAUAUGAAUCGCCUCGUGGUUCAAGAGGUCUCGAAGAGAGGGCGCUACCGUAGUCGGUUGAUAAGAGUCGAUUUCGCUUGCGAAAGAAGAUGGAUGCGAACCUCGGCACAAACAGACAGUUUUUCACGUAAAAAGUAAAAUUUUAUUGUUAAAAUUAAAAGUUAAAUAAAUAUCCAUCUAUGGUCCUCUUGAGGAAUAAAAUUUCUAGAGUUAUGUGUUAUUUUAUUCUCAUUAAACUUCUUGAUCAAGCCGAAACGUGGAACGGUGGUUUUCAAACAUGAUUUUUAUUGUGCUUUGAAAUAUUUUGUUGAGCUUUUUA
Molecule: long non-coding RNA, 377 nt
Organism: Sitophilus oryzae (rice weevil)
Lineage: Eukaryota; Metazoa; Arthropoda; Insecta; Coleoptera; Curculionidae
Exons: 3
Source: RefSeq, a predicted model, not a curated record